UACAGAGGGUGCAAGCGUUGCUCGGAAUUAUUGGGCGUAAAGGGUAGGUAGGUGGUCUCAUUUGUCGGGGGUGAAAGCCUUGGGCUUAACCCAAGAAGUGCCUUCGAAACGGUGAGACUGGAGUCCUGGAGAGGGUCGUGGAAUUCCCGGUGUAGCGGUGAAAUGCGUAGAGAUCGGGAGGAACACCAGAGGCGAAGGCGGCGACCUGGACAGGUACUGACGCUGAGACGCGAAAGCGUGGGGAGCGAACAGG
This 253-nucleotide ribosomal RNA is filed under the name uncultured bacterium. RNAcentral's name for it is "partial 16S ribosomal RNA". It matches the Rfam family "Bacterial small subunit ribosomal RNA", at positions 524 to 776 of the family's 1533-position model. The record is from RNAcentral.